AAUGUGAAAGCAAAUGCUUACAGAAAGAAUGUGGUGGUUCACAGUGGUCCAGUCUUUCCAACUGUUCCUGAUACUCAAACAUCCAAACUGCAGGGUAAAGCACCUGUGACCACUGGCUAUGCAGUCUUUGGAGCUACUGCUGGAAUCUUAAUGGUGAUAUUGGCUUUGGCUGUGGUGGCUAAAAGAAAACUGUAGUCAAGAACAAAAAUAAACCCAUUUUACAAAGCAA
Long non-coding RNA from Erpetoichthys calabaricus (reedfish), 229 nucleotides. RefSeq lists it as uncharacterized. The transcript is spliced from 2 exons. The record is from RefSeq and is a predicted model, not a curated record. NCBI's taxonomy places the organism in Eukaryota, Metazoa, Chordata, Cladistia, Polypteriformes, Polypteridae.